CUAUUGUUGAAAAUACAUAGAUGUACAUGAUUUUAUAGAUUAAUACAGUAGAGUCCUGAAAACUUGGCACUCGAUAACCCGGCAGUCCAGAUAACUCGGCCAUACCCUGGCAGGGUGAAAAAAACCCGCGGGCAGACCCGUUCAAUGUCAUUGCCCGCGUUCGUGUGUCACCCUCUUCCCGCAUUCCUUUUUCUUACAUCACACCAAAGAGCUAGAAUAUAUAUAUAUAGAUAUAUUCUAGCUCGUUGCGUCACACCUUCACUCCUCCACCAUGUGUCUGCCGCUGGCGGGUGCUUAGCCGCAGGUUGCCGGAUUGGGCUACAAGUAGCGGAUUGGGCGAUUUUUUUUUUUUAAGUACCCUCGCUACAAAAAUUUCAAAUUGGGCAACAGGCUACUUUUUGGGCUACUUUUAUCUGCGGGAU
RNAcentral lists this long non-coding RNA (422 nucleotides) under Androctonus crassicauda. Lineage: Eukaryota; Metazoa; Arthropoda; Arachnida; Scorpiones; Buthidae. The record is from RNAcentral.